UGGGUGAUCUGCCCUGCACUUCGGGAUAAGCCUGGGAAACUGGGUCUAAUACCGGAUAUACCUCAUUGAUCUCCUGGUCUGGUGGUGGAAAGAUUUUAUCGGCUGGGGAUGGGCCCGCGGCCUAUCAGCUUGUUGGUGGGGUAGUGGCCUACCAAGGCUUCGGACGGGUAGCCGGCUGAGAGGGCGACCGGCCACACUGGGACUGAGAUACGGCCCAGACUCCGUACGGGAGCAG
RNAcentral lists this ribosomal RNA (235 nucleotides) under uncultured bacterium. RNAcentral's name for it is "partial 16S ribosomal RNA". It matches the Rfam family "Bacterial small subunit ribosomal RNA", at positions 118 to 347 of the family's 1533-position model. The record is from RNAcentral.